GUUGGCUCUGUAAAAAUUACAGUAGAGCUGUUUUUUUAACAUUCUUAUUUAUCAGAAGUAUUUCUUUGGCGAAAAUUAGCAUAAUGAUUUCUGAAGGAUCGUGUGACACUAAAGACUGGAGUAAUGAUGGUGAAAAAUCAGCUUUGAUCAUAGAAAUCAACUGACCCUUCGCAAAAACCCGCCCUCCUUAAAUACUGUUGCUAUGUCCAACAAGCCAUGCUGCUCUCACAAUACACACCUUGUUCUCACACAGCGAAAAACACAUCGUGGACCAAAGAGGAAACUGACGACACACAGACAGACAAGACAGUGAAGGUUACUUCUGCCUUGCGUGUGAAGACUUCAGAAGAUGCCAGACCUCACAAAAAUUUCAGAUGAUGGCAACUAUAGAUGAACAUGCAAAGCUGUUAAAUAAUCCUUAUAUUGUAAUCAUUGCCCUAAAAGGAAGGAUCUUAUCAGCAAAUCUACUUCACAGCACAUCAGUGAAAACAGUUGACCGUUACAGACGGGUGUGUUGGAUCAGGGUCAGAUCUGAAUUCUGAUGGUUUUCUGGGAUGAUAGUUGAAGAUGAUCGCCACAUCAGAUGUUGGUCUGGACAGCUGUACCUACAGUACACCUCAUUGACCUCUGCUUUUGCAUGGAUAGCUGACUACUACCAUGUUCUGUGAAGGUAUUAUUAUAGCAAACCUGAGCACCUGUGACAGUGAAAUAGUUGUAAUAAAUAUAGUCACACAUGCAUAUUGGUAAAUUUAAAGUCACAGACAAUUUUUUUAGUACUAGCAAUAUCUUUAUUUUUAAUUUUUUACUAAUUCUCUCCAGCAAACACAACACAACAGUUACAACAUUUCAAAUUCUGAGGUACACAAAUCCAAUUCUACAAACAAGAGAAAAACUGUAUAAAAGUGCCCAGUUUAGCCCCUUUCACACUGAGAUUCCGGAUAAUACACGGGGAAUGUGUCCCAGCAGUUGUUCCUGGAUUGUUAGAUUUUGGUUCAUUCACACUGCCAGUGAUUGCGUUUACACACAACCCAUAAAGGUCCCGUAAUGACACGAGACAUCAGGAUGUGACGUGUAAUGUACGAGUUGAAAACGCUAGGCCACCAAUAAACGGAAGAAGGAGAAGCAGCAAAGCAGAAGUGUUUUCAAUGCUUUAUAAACACGGCAGCUGAUCAGCUACUAGGGACAUUGUUGUUUAUGUAUAAAGCAUCUUCCACACAGAAAUUCUGGAAAAUACACGGAUAAUGUGUUCCAGGAUUGUUUGAUUGUGGUUCAUUCACACUGCCAGUGAUUUUCCGGAAUCUGUGUGUGCGUUCACACACAACCCAUAAAGAUCCUGUAAAGACACAUGACAUUACGAUGUGACAUGUUUUGUUUCACUUAAACUGGUGAACGAUCUCAGCUUCAGCACAGAUAGUGAGGAGGUAUCUGAUCUCUGCUUCAUUACAGUUUGCACAUAUUUUUUCGUCACGAAUGUUGAUCUGUAUUCAAAAC
Molecule: long non-coding RNA, 1491 nt
Organism: Cyprinus carpio (common carp)
Lineage: Eukaryota; Metazoa; Chordata; Actinopteri; Cypriniformes; Cyprinidae
Exons: 4
Source: RefSeq, a predicted model, not a curated record